AGUGAACGCUGGCGGUAGGCCUAACACAUGCAAGUCGAACGGCAGCACAGUAAGAGCUUGCUCUUACAGGUGGCGAGUGGCGGACGGGUGAGGAAUACAUCGGAAUCUACUUUUUCGUGGGGGAUAACGUAGGGAAACUUACGCUAAUACCGCAUACGACCUACGGGUGAAAGCAGGGGAUCUUCGGACCUUGCGCGAUUGAAUGAGCCGAUGUCGGAUUAGCUAGUUGGCGGGGUAAAGGCUCACCAAGGCGACGAUCCGUAGCUGGUCUGAGAGGAUGAUCAGCCACACUGGAACUGAGACACGGUCCAGACUCCUACGGGAGGCAGCAGUGGGGAAUAUUGGACAAUGGGCGCAAGCCUGAUCCAGCCAUACCGCGUGGGUGAAGAAGGCCUUCGGGUUGUAAAGCCCUUUUGUUGGGAAAGAAAAGCAGCAGGUUAAUACCCCGCUGUUCUGACGGUACCCAAAGAAUAAGCACCGGCUAACUUCGUG
Molecule: ribosomal RNA, 492 nt
Filed under: uncultured bacterium
Lineage: Bacteria
Description: partial 16S ribosomal RNA
Rfam family: Bacterial small subunit ribosomal RNA
Source: RNAcentral